This is a long non-coding RNA of Felis catus (domestic cat), 765 nucleotides long. RefSeq lists it as uncharacterized. The transcript is spliced from 2 exons. The record is from RefSeq and is a predicted model, not a curated record. NCBI's taxonomy places the organism in Eukaryota, Metazoa, Chordata, Mammalia, Carnivora, Felidae.
GUUCCGGGCCCCUGGAGGGGAAGCGGUUCUCGCAGACCGCUGCAGAGGACGGUCCCCACGACUGUCGAGGCCCACCAGCUGCUCCGCGCGUCCCCUAACGGUCGUUGUUAGCCUGUUCGCCUUGCACAUUCUGAGAGGGAAUGUAUUCAGGCAAACGCCAGUCUCGUGGAGGGUGUUUCAUCGUCUCCACUGGCCUAUGAGCUCCCCGCGGCUCACACAGACCCACCGGGCCCACCAGGGAGGACCCAGGCAAGGCUGCAGCACCACGGGUCUCGGAACAGCACCCUCCGGGGCAGUGGCCCGUUCUCCCCGUGUGGCGGGACUCGCCCUCUGCAGGCGCCAGCCCGGCCGUGCCUUGGCUGCCCUGGCGCCACCCCCACUCUGGGGGAAUGAUCCUCCUUCGAGCCAGUCUGGUGAGGUGCCCCGAUCGGAAAGCUGCCCUCGCCUCCUCCUUGGCAUGCUUCAGUGUCUCAGGGGACGGACGGAGUCCAGAGCUCUGGCCUGGGAGGGGGCGACACGCGUCAGCUUCCGCGGGUGCGUCCUGGGACUCGGGGGGGGGGGGGGGGGGCCCAGGGCUUCAGCCCACUUGUGGGGUUGGUAAUGUUCUUGGGAGAGACUCACCCUUUGUAGGUGGGGUGGGCCAAGCCCGGCCGCAGCUCGGGGGCCAGAACAACAAGACGUUGUGUGAGCAGGACACAGUCUUGACACUUGAGGAUUUAUCCUUGGGCGAUAAAUAAAGCAUGGGUUUCAAGCUCUUUCACUUUA